CCUACGGUAGACAGCAGUGGGGGAUAUUGCACAAUGGGGGGAACCCUGAUGCAGCGAAGCCGCGUGGGUGUAGAAGCGCCCCGGCGCGUAAAGCCCUGUCAGCAGGGAGGAAAAUGACGGUACCUGAAGAAGAAGCCCCGGAUAACUACGUGCCAGCAGCCGCGGUAAUACGUAGGGGGCAAGCGUUAUCCGGAUUUACUGGGUGUAAAGGGGGCGCAGACGGCGAUGCAAGCCAGGAGUGAAAGCCCGGGGCUCAACCCCGGGACUGCUCUUGGAACUGCGUGGCUGGAGGGCAGGAGGGGCAAGCGGAAUUCCUGGUGUAGCGGUGAAAUGCGUAGAUAUCAGGAGGAACACCGGUGGCGAAGGCGGCCUGCUGGACUGCAACUGACGUUGAGGCCCGAAAGCGUGGGGAGCAAACAGGAUUAGAUACCCGUGUAGUC
RNAcentral lists this ribosomal RNA (440 nucleotides) under uncultured bacterium. RNAcentral's name for it is "partial 16S ribosomal RNA". It matches the Rfam family "Bacterial small subunit ribosomal RNA", at positions 338 to 795 of the family's 1533-position model. The record is from RNAcentral.